AUGGGACAGGACGGCCCCAGCACCACCACGGGACAGAGCCGGGGCUGCACCACCACCAGGAGCCCCACUGCACCCUGCCCGGCCUCAUCCUGCCCCACACCGCAGCAGGGAACGGGGAUCCCGCCGCGCUCACGGAGAGCGCCCAUCCCCGCGGCAGCGACCCUCCCCGUAGGAUGCUGCUUUUUACAUUUCCAGACCAAAUAUAGAAUCCUGUUGGGUGUUUUGGGCUUUUUUUUUUUUUUUUUUUUUUUUUUUUUUUUUUUUUUCUUUUUUCUUUUUUCUUUUUCCCUUUCGAAAGAUUUUUUUUUUUUUUUAAUUUUUCUCGGCUGGUGCCGUCCGGGCUGCCCCGUUGUCAGACUGACCCGCGCGGGGGGUCCCCGUGGCACACUGCCCUCGCCCGGCACGGCGAGACGGACGGACAGAUGGACGGACGGACACGGUGUGGUGCCACCCCCGCCCGGGACACCGCCGCACACGGGGACAGAGCCCCGGACGGACACGAGGACAGCGUGGGAGGCCCCGUCCCCAUCGCUCACCGACCCCACGGGGCGGCGAUGGAGCAGCACCCGGGGGUCCCGCACGGCACCGGGAGCCCCUCCGGGCGCUCGGCUGGAUCCGGGGCUGCAGCGGGGGGCGGUGGGCACCGCCCGUGCCUCCCUGGGGCUGGAUCUCCCCCACCGGAAUGGAGCAGCCUUUGGGUCCGCGCUCUCCUCCUCCUCUUCACCGCCUCCCAGCAUCGGCAUCGUCCGGGGGGGUUGCGGAUGGGGGCCCUCUCAUUGCCGUGCCCCCCGCUGCCCGCCCCACCCCACACCCCAGCGGCUUUGGCUUCUUCUCCUCUUCCUUCUCCGCACCCAAAAGAAAACUGCGGAAAUCCCGAUCUGCCGUCAGCCCCGAAGCGUGGGGCUGGGAGAUGAACCAGAGAGGGGCCCGGCCCCUCCUCGCCUUAAAUCCGGGACUGUGCCCCCCCCCCCCCCCCCGCCUCGGGGGGGGGCUCGCGCUGGGGACGGCGGCCCCGAGCCCGUCCCAUGGACACGACCCCCACGUGGCCCCCCCCAGUCCCUUCUGCUGGGGUCGGGCCCCCCCCUGUACAUACAUAGAGCCGCCAGGCGCUAUACUGUGAGCGUUCCGUUUUUUUUUUUUAUGUAUUGUCGAGAAUGGAUUUUAUGGAAGGGUUUAUUUUAUUUUUUAUUUGAUUCUUAUUUUUAUUUUCUAGACUUAGGACGCCGAAAUCUCUUGCAAUAA
This 1242-nucleotide long non-coding RNA is filed under the name Numida meleagris (helmeted guineafowl). RNAcentral's name for it is "lncRNA (ENSNMEG00000003305.1)". The record is from RNAcentral. Lineage: Eukaryota; Metazoa; Chordata; Aves; Galliformes; Numididae.